Molecule: non-coding RNA, 823 nt
Organism: Microcebus murinus (gray mouse lemur)
Lineage: Eukaryota; Metazoa; Chordata; Mammalia; Primates; Cheirogaleidae
Source: RefSeq, a predicted model, not a curated record
AUGGCCUGCGGUCCCAAGAAGCAUCUGAAGCGUGUAGCAGCUCCAAAGCAUUGGAUGCUGGAUAAGCUGACCGGUGUGUUUGCUCCUCGUCCAUCCACCGGUCCCCACAAGCUGAGAGAGUGUCUCCCACUCAUCAUUUUCCUAAGAAACAGGCUUAAGUAUGCCCUGACAGGAGAUGAAGUGAAGAAGAUCUGCAUGCAGCGCUUCAUUAAAAUCGAUGGCAAGGUCCAAACUGAUAUAACCUACCCUGAUGGAUUUAUGGAUGUCAUCAGCAUUGACAAGACUGGAGAGAAUUUCCGUCUGAUUUAUGACACCAAGGGUCGCUUUGCUGUUCAUCGUAUCACACCUGAGGAGGCCAAGUACAAGUUGUGCAAAGUGAGAAAAAUCUUUGUGGGCACAAAAGGAAUCCCUCAUCUGGGUGACUCAUGAUGCUCGUACCAUCCGCUGUCCUGAUCCACUCAUCAAAGUGAAUGACACCAUUCAGAUUGAUUUGGAGACUGGCAAGAUUACUGAUUUCAUCAAGUUUGACACUGGUAACCUGUGUAUGGUGACUGGAGGCGCUAACUUGGGAAGAAUUGGUGUGAUCACCAACAGAGAAAGACAUCUCGGGUCUUUUGAUGUGGUUCACGUGAAAGAUGCCAAUGGCAACAGCUUUGCCACUCGCCUCUCCAACAUUUUCGUUAUUGGCAAAGGCAACAAACCAUGGAUUUCUCUUCCUCGAGGAAAAGGUAUCCGCCUCACCAUUGCUGAAGAGAGGGAUAAGAGACUGGCAGCCAAACAGAGCAGGGUGAAAUGGUCUCCAUGUAACAUAAUAACAUGUUAA